GCUGCCCCCGCCUCCUCCGGCGCCCGCCCCGGCCGCGGCGCCCCGUGCUGGAGGUGGCUCUGCCGGGGACGGUUGUUCCCCGCGCCGGCCGCCGGGAUGUGCCCCGGGAGCGGCGGCAUCUUUCUUGCCCCUGUAAGGGUUUGGAGACCCCAAGGGCUGGCUAAGGUGUGGGAAUCGCUCCUGGCAGAGGUCCGGCCUCGCAGGGUAGUGAAGGCGGGUCCCCAGGCAGGUGCCUGUGGCGCCCCUGGACUUCCCGAGGGUGAUUAACCUUGAAGGGACGAAAGUUUACCAAGAACGGCUGCGAAAAGACACAAGAGGAGUUGGGCGAUGCCUUGUCAAAAUAUGCGUUUUGCAUCACAGUGUGAGAAACGACAGCGAAGGGCAGCUUUCAGCCCUGUCAGAACAGUAUCUGCUGUGUGUGUCCCAGCAGAAGAAAUGAGGAACAGAACUUUUCCUAGGGUUUACAGAUAGAGACAACUUUCCUUGAGGUUUUCAUUUGCACCCGUGAUUCAGACCAUUUUGAGGCACUGCAUUUUUGUCUCACCCAGUGUUGGAUAUUCUGCCAUUUUCUGAAAAGGGCCAUUAUUUGGACUUUGUGUUUCAGUAAUUGUUUAAGACAGUUUGAAUUUGAUACCGGUGCCUGUAAUAGCCUCAUAUAACAAGAUCACAUGCCAACCAGUUCAGGCCAAGUAGCAAGCCUUGGCCCCAAGCCCUGCGUAAGAGCACUGUGUCUCCAGGCUGCAGGGAUCCUUCCAUACCUAUCACUGCUUUCUUCUGAGCUACUUUUCACUUAGAGCGAAGGAAAAAACAGACAUUCAAACCAGAAACCAGAAUUUAUUAAAAGACUAGUCAACGUUGAUUUUAUUGUGAUGUGUAGGUAAUAUACUGCAGGGACAGAACCAUGUGAAAAAGAAAUCUACCAGAAGAUGAAAUCUACCAGAAGAAAUCUACCAUCAACUCAUUGCUAAGGUGUUCCAAGUUCCGGGAGUACAGCUGUAGACGCCGGAUCAGGGUAUCCAUGUAGCUUUCAUUGGUCUGGCCAUGGAAAUUACUGCAAAUAACAGAAUUACACAGGAGUCAAGAAGAAAGACUUAUAAAUGUACAUUGUUGAGAGCAGCUAAAAGGAGGCAAAAAAGCAGCAGCAGAAAACUUCUCCGGUGUUUGACUUCCCUGUAGUAAGAAUGGUCCCCUGCCAGUGAGGGGGUACACUAAAGAAACUAGGAGACAGCAUAGCUGGGACAGGUGAUCCAGACUAACCUAAGGGAUAUUCCACACCAAAGAACAUCAUGCCUGGCAUAUAAACUGGGGGAAGUUACCUGGAAGGGAGGAUUAUCUGUGUUCAGGAAGGGGAGUCUGCUAUCAGUCAGCAGGUAC
Molecule: long non-coding RNA, 1374 nt
Organism: Motacilla alba alba
Lineage: Eukaryota; Metazoa; Chordata; Aves; Passeriformes; Motacillidae
Exons: 3
Source: RefSeq, a predicted model, not a curated record